Molecule: long non-coding RNA, 574 nt
Filed under: Rattus norvegicus (Norway rat)
Lineage: Eukaryota; Metazoa; Chordata; Mammalia; Rodentia; Muridae
Description: long non-coding RNA NONRATT032350
Source: RNAcentral
GUUGAAGUCUUUUUCCUAGACAGGACACAUGGGACAGAUUAUUUAAGCAAAUUGAAUUGUAUCCACCAGUCUUCAUUCAAAAAGGAUGUUUUCUGAGUUCAGGAAUAAACCCCAUGAUUUCUGGAGAAUGGAUGACAGGUGUGUGAUGGGCAAUGUGUUUGUAAUCUUCAACCACCAAGUUAGCAUGCUUUACUGCCUUCCAUUCAGUCAUCCAGCCACUUUGGGUGUUGCUUUCCUCACUGAAGACUGAGAAGUGGAGACAUAAUAUCCAAAGUCUCUCCUGGGUGGAAGAUCUCUUUAUAUGACAGAAAAAAUAUAAAAGACUGAAGCUGUCCAUUUCACUCAAUGUUUUCCUGGUUUUACUUUGGUUGAGUUUGUCCGAAUAUCUUGGCUUAGAAAAAUGAGCAUUAAACUUCUAACAGUGAAUCCAUAGUGAUAUUGUUCCUCACCAGCUGAACAUAUUGCACCAGGCAAUUGCAGGGAUUCAUAAAAUAUCUUUUUUUCUAAAACUGGUUCUGAAACUAGAAGGGCAGAGUCAAUUGCACAUUGACUCUUCUUAGCAGACACCUGGCAC